Molecule: ribosomal RNA, 218 nt
Filed under: uncultured Glomus
Lineage: Eukaryota; Fungi; Glomeromycota; Glomeromycetes; Glomerales; Glomeraceae
Description: partial 18S ribosomal RNA
Rfam family: Eukaryotic small subunit ribosomal RNA
Source: RNAcentral
AGCAGCCGCGGUAAUUCCAGCUCCAAUAGCGUAUAUUAAAGUUGUUGCAGUUAAAAAGCUCGUAGUUGAAUUUCGGGAUCAAUAUGUUGGUCGUGCCUCGGUACGUACUAGCAUAUUGGUUUCUCCUUUCUGAAGAACCAUGAUGUCAUUCAUUUGGUGUCGUGGGGAAUCAGGACUGUUACUUUAGAAAAAAUUAGAGUGUUUAAAGCAGGCUCACG